This 303-nucleotide ribosomal RNA is filed under the name uncultured bacterium. Its description in RNAcentral is "bacterial SSU rRNA". It matches the Rfam family "Bacterial small subunit ribosomal RNA", at positions 355 to 656 of the family's 1533-position model. The record is from RNAcentral.
UGAGGAAUAUUGGUCAAUGGGCGCGAGCCUGAACCAGCCAAGUCGCGUGAGGGAAGACGGUCCUAUGGAUUGUAAACCUCUUUUGUCGGGGAGCAAAAGACGUCACGUGUGGCGUUCCGAGAGUACCCGAAGAAAAAGCAUCGGCUAACUCCGUGCCAGCAGCCGCGGUAAUACGGAGGAUGCGAGCGUUAUCCGGAUUUAUUGGGUUUAAAGGGUGCGCAGGCGGAAGAUCAAGUCAGCGGUAAAAUUGAGAGGCUCAACCUCUUCGAGCCGUUGAAACUGGUUUUCUUGAGUGAGCGAGAA